UACGAAGGGGGCUAGCGUUGCUCGGAAUCACUGGGCGUAAAGCGCACGUAGGCGGAUCCUUAAGUCGGGGGUGAAAUCCUGGAGCUCAACUCCAGAACUGCCUUUGAUACUGAGGAUCUUGAGUUCGGGAGAGGUGAGUGGAACUGCGAGUGUAGAGGUGAAAUUCGUAGAUAUUCGCAAGAACGCCAGUGGCGAAGGCGGCUCACUGGCCCGAUACUGACGCUGAGGCACGAAAGCGUGGGGAGCAAACAGG
RNAcentral lists this ribosomal RNA (253 nucleotides) under uncultured bacterium. Its description in RNAcentral is "partial 16S ribosomal RNA". It matches the Rfam family "Bacterial small subunit ribosomal RNA", at positions 524 to 776 of the family's 1533-position model. The record is from RNAcentral.